Molecule: non-coding RNA, 25 nt
Filed under: Cricetulus griseus (Chinese hamster)
Lineage: Eukaryota; Metazoa; Chordata; Mammalia; Rodentia; Cricetidae
Source: RNAcentral
UGGCUGAACUGGACUUGAAGGAUAC